This 418-nucleotide ribosomal RNA is filed under the name uncultured prokaryote. RNAcentral describes it as "bacterial SSU rRNA". It matches the Rfam family "Archaeal small subunit ribosomal RNA", at positions 455 to 873 of the family's 1478-position model. The record is from RNAcentral.
GUGCCAGCAGCCGCGGUAAUACCAGCACCCCGAGUGGUCGGGACGUUUAUUGGGCCUAAAGCAUCCGUAGCCGGUUCUACAAGUCUUCCGUUAAAUCCACCUGCUUAACAGAUGGGCUGCGGAAGAUACUAUAGAGCUAGGAGGCGGGAGAGGCAAGCGGUACUCGAUGGGUAGGGGUAAAAUCCGUUGAUCCAUUGAAGACCACCAGUGGCGAAGGCGGCUUGCCAGAACGCGCUCGACGGUGAGGGAUGAAAGCUGGGGGAGCAAACCGGAUUAGAUACCCGGGUAGUCCCAGCUGUAAACGAUGCAGACUCGGUGAUGAGUUGGCUUUUUGCUAACUCAGUGCCGCAGGGAAGCCGUUAAGUUUGCCGCCUGGGGAGUACGGUCGCAAGACUGAAACUCAAAUGAAUUGGCGGGG